RNAcentral lists this ribosomal RNA (422 nucleotides) under Sordariomycetes sp. RNAcentral describes it as "eukaryotic LSU rRNA". The record is from RNAcentral. Lineage: Eukaryota; Fungi; Ascomycota; Sordariomycetes.
UUUUGGUUAGGUGCCUUACGAGUUCCCUGGAACGGGACGCMUUAGAGGGUGAGAGCCCCGUACGUUUGGUUACCGAGCCUCUGUAAAGCUCCUUYGACGAGUCGAGUAGUUUGGGAAUGCUGCUCUAAAUGGGAGGUAAAUUUCUUCUAAAGCUAAAUACCGGCCAGAGACCGAUAGCGCACAAGUAGAGUGAUCGAAAGAUGAAAAGCACUUUGAAAAGAGGGUUAAAUAGCACGUGAAAUUGUUGAAAGGGAAGCGUUUAUGACCAGACUUUUUCCUAGCGGAUCAUCCGGCGUUCUCGCCGGUGCACUUCGCUAGGUUUAGGCCAGCAUCGGUUUUCGCAGGGGGAUAAAAGCAGUGGUAAUGUGGCUCCCUCCGGGGAGUGUUAUAGACCGCUGUACUAAUACCCUUGCGGGGACCGA